GGGGCUGUAAUCUGUUCCCUGUGGUGAAGAGUGGGCAGAGGCGGCGGUUGCUGAGGUUGUAGCAGUGGCCGUGCUGGUUGUGGCAAUGGUGUCUCCUGCAGUGUCCCAGUCUGUCUCAUCGGGUAUGUUGUUGAUAAGUCCCAGGUCCUGUUGGCUCGGAUCCACUUCCUGUUGGAUGCCUUGGCCUUCUGGACCUCACCUGCUCUUUCUUCAGACGUGCUGUCUUUCCAGCAGACCCGCUUCAAGUGGACAGGGAGGUUCUCCUGCGGCUUGUUGCAUCGCAAGCAGUGCACGAUGUUGCGCUCAGCAGACCUUGAAAAAAAUGACAAAAAGGUAGACAUUUAAAACAGUGUGUGUGUGUGUGUGAACCCUCUCUGUUGAUUGGAUGACUUACAUUAGGCCACGCUUAAGUCGUUAGUAUGCAAGCAGCUAGUCCCCAUGACUCUGAAAACACAGACACACCCAUACAAUAGUUGAGUUAAAUAAAGAAUUGACAUAAAAUAAAGUAAAAUCAAUAAAUCAAUGAAUUAAAUUAAUUAAUUAAAAAUAAAUAAAUGUGGAAACAAUAAUCUUUUAGGAUGAUGAUAAUAAGACCUUAUGAUUUAAAGGUAUGACAUGCUACUUUUACAUGCUGCUACUGAUAAAAGUUGAAUUGAAAUGAAUAAUAAACCACACUUUUAUUUGUUAAGAAAUGUUGAGAUUUGGAAAAGCUCUCCAGCUGUGGUGCAGUUCCCAAACUCUCAACAUCUGUCUAACAGAUCUUGUUGGUUUUCUUUCUGAAGGGCUAGGUGUUUGAUAGGUUUGCACCUCUUAAUAAAUGUCUCUGGUUGUGGA
Sebastes umbrosus (honeycomb rockfish) is the source of this 834-nucleotide long non-coding RNA. RefSeq lists it as uncharacterized. The transcript has 2 exons. The record is from RefSeq and is a predicted model, not a curated record. Lineage: Eukaryota; Metazoa; Chordata; Actinopteri; Perciformes; Sebastidae.